Molecule: ribosomal RNA, 498 nt
Filed under: uncultured bacterium
Lineage: Bacteria
Description: partial 16S ribosomal RNA
Rfam family: Bacterial small subunit ribosomal RNA
Source: RNAcentral
GACGAACGCUGGCGGCGUGCCUAAUACAUGCAAGUCGAACGAGAGCGACCGGUGCUUGCACUGGUCAAUCUAGUGGCGAACGGGUGAGUAACACGUGGGUAACCUGCCCAUCAGCGGGGGAUAACAUCCGGAAACGGAUGCUAAAACCGCAUAGGUCUUCGAACCGCAUUGUUUGAAGAGGAAAAGAGGCGCAAGCUUCUGCUGAUGGAUGGACCCGCGGUGCAUUAGGUAGUUGGUGAGGUAACGGCUCACCAAGGCCGUGAUGCAUAGCCGACCUGAGAGGGUGAUCGGCCACAUUGGAACUGAGACACGGCCCAAACUCCUACGGGAGGCAGCAGUAGGGAAUCUUCCGCAAUGGACGCAAGUCGGACGGAGCAACGCCGCGUGAGUGAAGAAGGUUUUCGGAUCGUAAAACUCUGUUUUUAGGGAAGAACAAGUGCUAGAGUAACUGUUAGCGCCUUGACGGUAUCUAACCAGAAAGCCACGGCUAACUACGUG